RNAcentral lists this ribosomal RNA (497 nucleotides) under uncultured bacterium. RNAcentral describes it as "partial 16S ribosomal RNA". It matches the Rfam family "Bacterial small subunit ribosomal RNA", at positions 28 to 507 of the family's 1533-position model. The record is from RNAcentral.
GAUGAACGCUGGCGGCGUGCCUAAUACAUGCAAGUCGAGCGAACAGACGAGGAGCUUGCCCCUCUGACGUUAGCGGCGGACGGGUGAGUAACACGUGGAUAACCUACCUAUAAGACUGGGAUAACUUCGGGAAACCGGAGCUAAUACCGGAUAAUAUAUUGAACCGCAUGGUUCAAUAGUGAAAGACGGUUUUGCUGUCACUUAUAGAUGGAUCCGCGCCGCAUUAGCUAGUUGGUAAGGUAACGGCUUACCAAGGCAACGAUGCGUAGCCGACCUGAGAGGGUGAUCGGCCACACUGGAACUGAGACACGGUCCAGACUCCUGCGGGAGGCAGCAGUAGGGAAUCUUCCGCAAUGGGCGAAAGCCUGACGGAGCAACGCCGCGUGAAUGAUGAAGGUCUUCGGAUCGUAAAACUCUGUUAUUAGGGAAGAACAAAUGUGUAAGUAACUAUGCACGUCUUGACGGUACCUAAUCAGAAAGCCACGGCUAACUACGUG